UGACUUUGAUCAAAGUCAAACUGCUUUAAGUUUGACCAAGUUUAUAGAAAAAAGUAGUAACAUUUUUAACCCAAGAUAAAUUUAUUAUGAAAAUAUAUUCAAUCAUUGAUUUGAUGAAACUAAUUUAGUAUUAUAAAUAUUACUAUAUUUGUCUAUAAACCUAGUCAAAUUUGGAACAGUUUGACUUUGAUCAAAGUCAA
Non-coding RNA from Oryza meridionalis, 200 nucleotides. Lineage: Eukaryota; Viridiplantae; Streptophyta; Magnoliopsida; Poales; Poaceae. The record is from Rfam.